CUAUUGGUGUUCGACUAAGCCAUGCAAGUCAUAUGUUCCUCGUGAACAUGGCAUACUGCUCAGUAACACGUGGAUAACCUGCCCUUGGGUCUGGGAUAACCCCGGGAAACUGGGGAUAAUACUGGAUAACGCAUAUGUGCUGGAAUGCUUUAUGCGUAAAACGGAUUCGUCCGCCCAAGGAUGGGUCUGCGGCCUAUCAGGUAGUAGUGGGUGUAAUGUACCUACUAGCCAACAACGGGUACGGGUUGUGAGAGCAAGAGCCCGGAGAUGGAUUCUGAGACAUGAAUCCAGGCCCUACGGGGCGCAGCAGGCGCGAAAACUUUACAAUGCGGGAAACCGUGAUAAGGGAACACCGAGUGCCAGCAUCAUAUGCUGGCUGUCCAGAUGUGUAAACUACAUCUGUUAGCAAGGGCCGGGCAAGACCGGUGCCAGCCGCCGCGGUAACACCGGCGGCCCGAGUGGUGACCGUUAUUAUUGGGUCUAAAGGGUCCGUAGCCGGUUUGGUCAGUCCUCCGGGAAAUCUGAUAGCUUAACUGUUAGGCUUUCGGGGGAUACUGCCAGGCUUGGAACCGGGAGAGGUAAGAGGUACUACAGGGGUAGGAGUGAAAUCUUGUAAUCCCUGUGAGACCACCUGUGGCGAAGGCGUCUUACCAGAACGGGUUCGACGGUGAGGGACGAAAGCUGGGGGCACGAACCGGAUUAGAUACCCGGGUAGUCCCAGCCGUAAACUAUGCUCGCUAGGUGUCAGGCAUGGCGCGACCGUGUCUGGUGCCGCAGGGAAGCCGUGAAGCGAGCCACCUGGGAAGUACGGCCGCAAGGCUGAAACUUAAAGGAAUUGGCGGGGGAGCACAACAACGGGUGGAGCCUGCGGUUUAAUUGGACUCAACGCCGGACAACUCACCGGGAACGACAGCAAUAUGUAGGCCAGGCUGAAGACCUUGCCUGAAUCGCUGAGAGGAGGUGCAUGGCCGUCGCCAGUUCGUACUGUGAAGCAUCCUGUUAAGUCA
Molecule: ribosomal RNA, 1007 nt
Filed under: uncultured euryarchaeote
Lineage: Archaea; Methanobacteriati; Methanobacteriota
Description: bacterial SSU rRNA
Rfam family: Archaeal small subunit ribosomal RNA
Source: RNAcentral